RNAcentral lists this ribosomal RNA (491 nucleotides) under uncultured bacterium. RNAcentral describes it as "partial 16S ribosomal RNA". It matches the Rfam family "Bacterial small subunit ribosomal RNA", at positions 29 to 506 of the family's 1533-position model. The record is from RNAcentral.
AGUGAACGCUGGCGGUAGGCCUAACACAUGCAAGUCGAACGGCAGCACAGUAAGAGCUUGCUCUUACGGGUGGCGAGUGGCGGACGGGUGAGGAAUACAUCGGAAUCUACUUUUUCGUGGGGGAUAACGUAGGGAAACUUACGCUAAUACCGCAUACGACCUACGGGUGAAAGCAGGGGAUCUUCGGACCUUGCGCGAUUGAAUGAGCCGAUGUCGGAUUAGCUAGUUGGCGGGGUAAAGGCCCACCAAGGCGACGAUCCGUAGCUGGUCUGAGAGGAUGAUCAGCCACACUGGAACUGAGACACGGUCCAGACUCCUACGGGAGGCAGCAGUGGGGAAUAUUGGACAAUGGGCGCAAGCCUGAUCCAGCCAUACCGCGUGAGUGAAGAAGGCCUUCGGGUUGUAAAGCCCUUUUGUUGGGAAAGAAAAGCAGCAGGUUAAUACCCCGCUGUGCUGACGGUACCCAAAGAAUAAACACCGGCUAACUUCGU